RNAcentral lists this unclassified non-coding RNA (205 nucleotides) under Hevea brasiliensis (rubber tree). Lineage: Eukaryota; Viridiplantae; Streptophyta; Magnoliopsida; Malpighiales; Euphorbiaceae. The record is from RNAcentral.
GAAGAGGAGAGCAGAGUAUAUACUAAGACAGUCUAUGGAAAACCCACAGGAACUCACCCAGUUGUAAAGUAAUUCAUUGACUGACCAACUUAUUCAGGAAUGGCUGUAGCAGUGGGUUACGGGGGCUUGUUGUAUGGAUAUUAUAAAAUUCUAUUGUUUGUCCCUGCAAAUCCCACUGACAAUUUUUGGAGGUAUUUGAGCACUC